ACCAUUAGAAAAUAACAAACUUGUGGGGCGUAAAUUUAUUCACAUUCAGACGUAAUUCCAUGGAGUAAUUCAUGUCUACAUUAAAGUAGAUGGUUACUUAAAAUACGUGUGGUGCUCAUCAUGGAGAGUUAAUGAAUAAAUAAUCGUGCGGGCUAUAAAAUCAAGU
RNAcentral lists this non-coding RNA (166 nucleotides) under unclassified sequences. The record is from RNAcentral.